UGCAGUCGAACGGUAACAGGCCUUCGGGCGCUGACGAGUGGCGGACGGGUGAGUAACGCGUAGGAAUCUGCCUCAUAGUGGGGGACAACGUGGGGAAACUCACGCUAAUACCGCAUACGCCCUACGGGGGAAAGCGGGGGAUCUUCGGACCUCGCGCUAUGAGAUGAGCCUGCGUUAGAUUAGCUAGUUGGUAGGGUAAAGGCCUACCAAGGCGACGAUCUAUAGCUGGUCUGAGAGGACGAUCAGCCACACUGGGACUGAGACACGGCCCAGACUCCUACGGGAGGCAGCAGUGGGGAAUAUUGGACAAUGGGCGAAAGCCUGAUCCAGCAAUACCGCGUGUGUGAAGAAGGCCUUAGGGUUGUAAAGCACUUUCAAUUGGGAGGAAAACCUACCGGUCAAUACCCGGUAGCUUGACAUUACCUUUAGAAGAAGCACCGGCUAACUCCGUGCCAGCAGCCGCGGUAAUACGGAGGGUGCGAGCGUUAAUCGGAAUUACUGGGCGUAAAGCGUGCGUAGGCGGUUCGUUAAGUCAGAUGUGAAAGCCCUGGGCUCAACCUGGGAACUGCAUUUGAAACUGGCGGACUAGAGUU
This 593-nucleotide ribosomal RNA is filed under the name uncultured bacterium. RNAcentral describes it as "bacterial SSU rRNA". It matches the Rfam family "Bacterial small subunit ribosomal RNA", at positions 56 to 648 of the family's 1533-position model. The record is from RNAcentral.